Molecule: ribosomal RNA, 491 nt
Filed under: uncultured Eubacteriales bacterium
Lineage: Bacteria; Bacillati; Bacillota; Clostridia; Eubacteriales
Description: bacterial SSU rRNA
Rfam family: Bacterial small subunit ribosomal RNA
Source: RNAcentral
AGUUUGAUCCUGGCUCAGGAUGAACGCUGGCGGCGUGCCUAACACAUGCAAGUCGAACGGGGGCAGAUUGAAACCUAGUGAUAUCUGCCCGAGUGGCGGACGGGUGAGUAACGCGUGGACAACCUGCCGCAUGCAGGGGGAUACCGGCUGGAAACAGCCGCUAAUACCGCAUAUGCGCACGGCGCCGCAUGGCGCCGCACGGAAAGGGAGCAAUCCCGGCAUGCGAUGGGUCCGCGUCCGAUUAGCUUGUUGGCGGGGCAGCGGCCCACCAAGGCAACGAUCGGUAGCCGGCCUGAGAGGGCGGACGGCCACAUUGGGACUGAGACACGGCCCAGACUCCUACGGGAGGCAGCAGUGGGGGAUAUUGCACAAUGGGGGGAACCCUGAUGCAGCGACGCCGCGUGGGUGAAGGAGUGCUUCGGCAUGUAAAGCCCUAUCGGCAGGGAAGAAGCAAGACGGUACCUGACUAAGAAGCCCCGGCUAACUACGUG